GCCGGAUUAGCUCAGUGGUAGAGCAACCGCCUUGUAAGCGGUCGGUCGUCAGUUCGAAUCCGACAUCCGGCACCA
This 75-nucleotide transfer RNA is filed under the name Candidatus Megaera polyxenophila. RNAcentral's name for it is "tRNA-Thr". It matches the Rfam family "tRNA". From Rfam's summary of the family: Transfer RNA (tRNA) molecules are approximately 80 nucleotides in length. The record is from RNAcentral. RNAcentral also lists the same sequence under 5 other names. Lineage: Bacteria; Pseudomonadati; Pseudomonadota; Alphaproteobacteria; Rickettsiales; Rickettsiaceae.